Molecule: long non-coding RNA, 1202 nt
Organism: Schistocerca gregaria
Lineage: Eukaryota; Metazoa; Arthropoda; Insecta; Orthoptera; Acrididae
Exons: 5
Source: RefSeq, a predicted model, not a curated record
AUUCAUAGCGAUUUGUGUCCAUCUAGCGUGACACACAUUAGACUUCGCAAAAAAAGAAGUGAGCAUCGGUGCCGAAGCCCGUUCCAAAAUCUAUGGACUUUAUCCAGCGCAUGGGUAUAUCAUUCAGCACACAAUUCAUUUUGUCAGUUUGUUGGUAGGCUUCUUCCUGAUCAUCAUCUGUUAGAGUGUUUUUAUGUAACGGCUAUUUGUUGAAAGAGGGAUUGGUCCUCUUUUCUAUAUCCCGGCUGACAUUUAGUAGGAAUAACUCCACUACCCCGUAAUGAGUAGAUAUUCGGUUAUCAAAGUGUGAUACUACGAGUCAACAUUCUCUUCUUAUAUAUCUACCUAUCCAUUCUUUAGUGCAAAUGACUUCCAAAAAAGAGGUCAAACUCUCUAAUCCCCCCUCCUGCUUGGAGUUUGCCGAUAUGCGCUUUGUUAUUUUUGAUGCACCUAAUGAUGAUAAUCUAGGAAGCUACGCUGAUGCACUUAUCAAAUUCAAGGUUGGUACUAUUGUCCGCGUUUGCGAAGGCACUUACUCUCUAGAUUCUCUGUUAGUCAGAGGUUUUAAAUUUUACGAUCUUCCAUUUCCUGAUGGCGCAGUACCUCCAAAGUCAGUUGUCGAUACGUGGCUAUCCAUCGUUAAGGAAAAUAAAAGUUCGGGAGCCUCCGGUGAAAAUUAUGCUAUUGGAAUUCACUGCAUUGCAGGUCUUGGUCGCAUUACCUCGACAUAUUGGUCGCUUCAAUUUUACCCUUGCACAUUUAUUGAAGAAAGGGGCGCUAUAUUUGGUCUUUAGUACUCAUUUUUGUUCUAUUUGGCAACAAAACAUACUUUUCCAUUACUCUCUCAUUCAGGGCACCCGUUUUGGUUGCAAUUGCUCUAAUCGAGCACGGGAUGGAUGCCGUAUCAGCUGUCAAUCUUAUUCGAUCUAAGAGACGGGGCGCUAUUAAUAGAAUGCAACUACAGUAUCUAAAAAAAUACAAGAGAUCAAGCAAUAGUGGAUGCAACAUCAUUUGAUGUUACGAAAAGACGCGUGGCCUCUUCUAGCAACAAUGUAUUCUCGUUAUCUAUGCGACACUAUAUGGAUGCAAUAGCGGGUGACAAAUGCUUUCUAUCUAACCUCUAAAUACAUUUUGUGAACACGACAUGUAUUAAUGUAACAUAACAAGUUUUGCCGGCAAUCUUUGUAGACGCCGUCGAUGUA